GGCCUCCCAAAUCUUACCACAGGCUGUGUUCUUUACACUGACUAUAGAAAGAGGACAUACAAUAAAUGGACCCAAUAUACACCUCAACACAGGCCCUUUGCCUGAUUUGUAUUGUGAAUUGGGGGACAAAA
Molecule: small nucleolar RNA, 131 nt
Organism: Suncus etruscus (white-toothed pygmy shrew)
Lineage: Eukaryota; Metazoa; Chordata; Mammalia; Eulipotyphla; Soricidae
Product: small nucleolar RNA SNORA51
Exons: 1
Source: RefSeq, a predicted model, not a curated record